AUGCCUUUGCCGCUGCCCAGAUCCAUGGUCCUCUCCCCUAUCUCCUUCCAUCUCCCCGCCCCUAUGGAUCCAUACGUCGCCGGCGGCACCACCCGACACUCCGGCCGUCCCGAUUGGGUCUUACUCCACAAUUCGGCUCGUAUCUCGGGACACCGGAACUCGACCACCGCCGGCUGUCACACGAUGGAGGGCCGCCCCAUCGAGGUGUCCUUCUGGCUCGUUGACCCACCGGGAGUCUCCUACUUCUCCGUCCACUGCCCUGGCCUCAGUAAGGACUUCCAGGGCGAGCCCUACGUUCACUGCGCGGAGGCCGCUCUCGUCCUCUUCAGCGUGACCUUUCUCCCCGUCCCUGGCCGGAGAUCCAUCCAGCACUUCGUCUACAGAGCCGGCCCGGGGGCGCCCUCGCUGGACCUGAUUCCCGACCCGGACAAGAUCAGAAGAGGCGAUCGAUAUGGCCUCUUGCCCUGUGGCGAUGACACCGACCACUACGCCGUGGUCUUCCUCGACAGGAAUUUUAUUGCCUAUGACAAGCCCUGGCGUUUCAAUGCUCACGUCUUCUUGUCGGCAACAAGGUCGUGGAGCAGCAAGGUGCCCUUGUCUUGCCUAUCUGAAGAUGAUCAGGCAUUGCUGCUUAAGCAUGGCACCUGCAAGCCGCCGAUCAUGGUAGGAGCAACCUCGCUGGGCUGGGUCGAUCUCUUCAAAGGCAUCCUCCUUCUCUCCGACGUGCUCGGGGACUGCCCUGUGGUCAAGUACAUCCAGUUGCCCGCGUCAAGGGUUUGCCACAUGAACAAGCGUGGCUUCCCUUACACUGCCAAGCAAUACUGUUGUGAUGUCUCCUCCUGCCGCGACAACAGUCUGAUCAAGUUUGUCGAGAUGGAGUUCAAUGAGCCGGACCGCAGGAACAGAGGCGGCCAAGGCUGGAGAGCCAUCAUGUGGGAUACGACGGUGAUUUCAGAUGGUUGGAGCCAGCGCUUCAGAGUUGAUGUUGAUAACAUUUCGGUGGACAGAAGUUAUUCUGGUCUACUGCCUCAGCUGUGGAAUGACGAGACCAGAGAACUAGAACUGAAGAGACUGAUUUUGUAUACCCCCACGCUGAGCGUGCACGACGACAAUCUUCUUUACGUGAUGGCUAAGAUGAACAGUGAAGACGACAAGGCCUGGGUCAUCACCGUCGACAUGAAAUGCGAGGCCGUGGAAGCAAUCGCCCCGUAUUCUACCAGAGGGCGCAAACUCACUUCAUGGCAUAGUCCAUGCACCUUUCCAGAGUACCUCGACCCGGCGACCCCAGGGGAUCAUGUGGCCAUGCACUCUAGGAGGAUUUGUGCGGCGGACUGUGUUCUGCAAAUGCUGUUGACUCGAGACUGGUUCAGGGAAAUUGGUGAACGCUUUGAAUUUGAGAGGCCAACCCACGUUGAGUGCCUGUCACUAAUUCAGUGUUGCCCAGUAUCAUCUGUUCUUUCAGAUAUCCAAGAAGUGGUAAAAUAUGCUUUCUCUACUGGUGAAGGCGAAGCUGCUCCCAAAGCUGUGGAUUUAUGCUCACGAGCUUUUGAAGACUUCGAUGUGCUGCUACGCGAGUUAUUGCAUGAUCCAGCGUCAUCUACCGAAGGCAUGAGUUGCAAAAUCAGUGUUGCCCUUCGAGCUUUAGACAGUAUCUUGGACAUUGUGCCACCAACCUUGAGGGCGCUUGCGGAUGCCUGUCAUCAAAAAGGAGGGAAAACAAUAUUUGAUCUGGGUGAGGAGCCUGGUGAUCCAAAGGACUUGAAACUACAGUGCUCUCCUAAAGCUAACAACCUUACAUGGUGCAAGCAGCCAGUCGUCUAUUCAAAGAACAGAUCUGACGAGUUGCAGCAGUGGGGAUCCAACCUGAUUAACCGUUUCCAGAUAGGAGGGAGGACGGUAUUUGAGCAGGCAAGAGAUACAGAGGACUGGAAAGUGGAGAGCUCUUGUGAUGCUAACAACCUUUCUGGCGGCAAGGACAAGGGCGGAUCUUACGAGGUGCAGCAGGGGAGAUCCAAGCCCAUUAACCGCCGGCAAAGGAAGCGGAACCAGGCACGGGGCAGGGAAGCUGGCCGUGAUGAACGAUUGGUGGUUCCAUAUUGCCGCCAACUGGAGCAGUAUGUGUUGAUUUUCUUGUGCCUGCUCUUCAUUGCCUACAUCUGUGCACCGAUCACUAUGAAGUGGUUAGGCCAUGGCCCUUUAGUAUCCUACUAG
This 2211-nucleotide ribosomal RNA is filed under the name Triticum aestivum (bread wheat). RNAcentral describes it as "partial small subunit ribosomal RNA". Lineage: Eukaryota; Viridiplantae; Streptophyta; Magnoliopsida; Poales; Poaceae. The record is from RNAcentral.